AGUCAAGCUACUAAGGGCACAUGGGGAAUGCCUUGGCGCCAGAAGCCGAAGAAGGACGUAGCAAGACUGCGAUAAGCCACGAUUAGCUGCCUAGCAAGCUUAGUUGUGGAUUUCCGAAUGGGGGAACCCAUCUACUUCGGUAGUUACCUUGGUCGUAAGACCUUGGUGGUAAGCAGGGGAACUGAAACAUCUAAGUACCCUGAGGAAAGUAAAUCAACAGAGACUCCCUUAGUAGCGGCGAGCGGACGGGGACCAGCCUAAACCACAUGGGCCUAACGGACUGAAGUCCUAUGCCUUUGUGGCGUUGUAGGGUCAGACAGGAGGAAGCUUCAGAUUCCUCCAAGAGUUACAAAACGUGCAUCUAAUCGAAUAGUCCUGGAACGGCUAACCGUAGUGGGUGAAAGUCCCGUAGAUGAAAGAUGAUGCGUCUCUUGGUUUGAUUCCUGAGUACGGCGGGACACGUGAAAUCUUGUCGGAAUCUGGGGGGACCACCCUCCAAGGCUAAGUACUUCUGGCGACCGAUAGUGAACAAGUACCGUGAGGGAAAGGUGAAAAGCACCCCGUGAGGGGAGUGAAAUAGAACUGAAACCAUGUGCCUACAAACCGUUGGAGUUCUGAAUUUAUUCGGAAUGACAGCGUGCCUAUUGAAGAAUGAGCCAACGAGUUACGUUACGUGGCAGGUUAAGGCAUGAUGUGCCGGAGCCGAAGCGAAAGCGAGUCUGAAUAGGGCAAUUCAGUCGCGUGGCGUAGACCCGAAACCGUGUGAGCUACCCUUGGCCAGGUUGAAGCGAAAGUAAAUUUUCGUGGAGGACCGAACCCUUGUAAGUUACAAAUUGCUGGGAUGAGCUGAGGGUAGGGGUAAAAUGCCAAUCGAACACGGAGAUAGCUGGUUCUCCCCGAAAUGCAUUUAGGUGCAGCGUCAAGUUUUAAUUUGCGGAGGUAGAUCACUGGAUGGGCUAGGGGGCGUGAGCUUACCAACCCCAACCAAAAUCCGAAUACCGUAAAUAGUAUCUUGGCAGUGAGACAGUGAAGGAUAAGCUCCAUUGUCGAAAGGGAAACAGCCCAGAUCGCAAUCUAAGGUCCCGAAGUGUGUGCUAAGUGUGAAACGAAGUGGGAACGCCCAGACAGCCAGGAGGUUGGCUUAGAAG
RNAcentral lists this ribosomal RNA (1148 nucleotides) under Dehalococcoidia bacterium. RNAcentral describes it as "partial 23S ribosomal RNA". It matches the Rfam family "Bacterial large subunit ribosomal RNA", at positions 1 to 1112 of the family's 2925-position model. The record is from RNAcentral. Lineage: Bacteria; Bacillati; Chloroflexota; Dehalococcoidia.